Molecule: small nuclear RNA, 108 nt
Filed under: Physeter macrocephalus (sperm whale)
Lineage: Eukaryota; Metazoa; Chordata; Mammalia; Artiodactyla; Physeteridae
Source: RNAcentral
GUGCUCGCUCCGGCAGCACAUAUACUAAAAAUUGGAAUGACACAGAGAAGAUUAGCAUGGCCCCUGUGCAAGGAUGACACGCAAAUUCAUGAAGCGUUCCAUGUUUUU